GAUCCUGGCUCAGGAUGAACGCUAGCGGCAGGCUUAACACAUGCAAGUCGAGGGGCAGCGGGGAGUAGCAAUACUCCGCCGGCGACCGGCGCACGGGUGAGUAACACGUAUGCAAUCCACCUGUAACAGGGGGAUAACCCGGAGAAAUCCGGACUAAUACCCCAUAAUAUGGGCGCUCCGCAUGGAGAGCCCAUUAAAGAGAGCAAUUUUGGUUACAGACGAGCAUGCGCUCCAUUAG
This 238-nucleotide ribosomal RNA is filed under the name uncultured bacterium. RNAcentral's name for it is "partial 16S ribosomal RNA". It matches the Rfam family "Bacterial small subunit ribosomal RNA", at positions 15 to 244 of the family's 1533-position model. The record is from RNAcentral.